This is a long non-coding RNA of Sceloporus undulatus (fence lizard), 339 nucleotides long. RefSeq lists it as uncharacterized. The transcript is spliced from 3 exons. The record is from RefSeq and is a predicted model, not a curated record. Lineage: Eukaryota; Metazoa; Chordata; Lepidosauria; Squamata; Phrynosomatidae.
GGUACAACUGCUGUGAACAUGGGAUAGAGCCUUCUCAGUAGCUGCUCCCAGGCCUUGCCCUCCUUGCUAUGCUCCCCACAGUAGUGACAACACGGCAUCCAAACUCAGAAUAUACAGUGUCUUCCUGACCAGUUAUGAAUCACGCCUCAUGAUCCAUAACUGAUUUUUUAAAAAGUUAAAUUGAAAGAAUUGAUGGAUAUAUUCUUACCUCAGCGAGAAGUCUGAUGUAUUGAAGCACAGAGGACAGAGCUGUAAAAGAAGAAAAGAAGAAAAGUUGUAAAAGAAAAAGAAGAAGAGAAGGCAUUUAAUAUCAGACCCUGAUCCUAAAUAAAGACCCAC